GGAGUUAGCCGGUGCUUCUUCUGUGAGUGAUGUCCUUCCUGCCGGUUAUUGACCCGCAGGCCUUCUUCCUCACUGAAAGUGCUUUACAACCCGAAGGCCUUCUUCACACACGCGGCAUGGCUGGAUCAGGGUUGCCCCCAUUGUCCAAUAUUCCCCACUGCUGCCUCCCGUAGGAGUCUGGGCCGUGUCUCAGUCCCAGUGUGGCUGAUCAUCCUCUCAGACCAGCUACGGAUCGUCGCCUUGGUGAGCCGUUACCUCACCAACCAGCUAAUCCGACAUAGGCUCAUCCGAUAGCGCGAGGCCCGAAGGUCCCCCGCUUUCCCCCGUAGGGCGUAUGCGGUAUUAGCCUGGGUUUCCCCAGGUUAUCCCCCACUACCGGGCAGAUUCCUAUGCAUUACUCACCCGUCCGCCGCUCGCCACCAGGGAGCAAGCUCCCCGUGCUGCCGCUCGACUUGCAUGUGUUAGGCCUGCCGCCAGCGUUCAAUCUGAGCAUAAUACAACUACUGA
This 507-nucleotide ribosomal RNA is filed under the name uncultured bacterium. RNAcentral describes it as "partial 16S ribosomal RNA". The record is from RNAcentral.